This 464-nucleotide ribosomal RNA is filed under the name uncultured bacterium. RNAcentral describes it as "bacterial SSU rRNA". It matches the Rfam family "Bacterial small subunit ribosomal RNA", at positions 28 to 523 of the family's 1533-position model. The record is from RNAcentral.
GAUGAACGCUGGCGGCGUGCCUAAUACAUGCAAGUUGUGCGGUAACAGAGAGAGCUUGCUCUCUGCUGACGAGCGGCGGACGGCAGAGUAACGCGUAGGAACAUACCCCAAACUGAGGGAUAACUGCUCGAAAGAGUAGCUAAUACCGCAUGUGGUCUUCGGAUUAAAAGCUUCGGCGGUUCGGGAGUGGCCUGCGUCCGAUUAGCUAGUUGGUGAGGUAAUUGCUCACCAAGGCGACGAUCGGUAGCUGGUCUGAGAGGAUGAUCAGCCUGACUGGAACUGAGAACGGUCCAGACUCCUACGGGAGGCAGCAGUAGGGAAUUUUCCACAAUGGGCGAAAGCCUGAUGGAGCAACGCCGCGUGCAGGAUGAAUGCCUUCGGUUGUAAACUGCUUUUCUGUGUGAAGAAUAUGACGGUAACACAGGAAUAAGGGUCGGCUAACUACGUGCCAGCAGCCGCGGUAA